GCUGGGUGGCUCAGUCGGUUGAGUGUCUGACUUCAGCUCAGGUGAUGAUCUCUCAGUCUGUGGGUUCAAGCCCCACACCGGGCU
This 84-nucleotide transfer RNA is filed under the name Felis catus (domestic cat). It matches the Rfam family "tRNA". From Rfam's summary of the family: Transfer RNA (tRNA) molecules are approximately 80 nucleotides in length. Their secondary structure includes four short double-helical elements and three loops (D, anti-codon, and T loops). The record is from Rfam by way of RNAcentral. Lineage: Eukaryota; Metazoa; Chordata; Mammalia; Carnivora; Felidae.